CCGUAUGUGGCACAGCGAAAGCGUUAAGUAUUCCACCUGGGGAGUACGUUCGCAAGAAUGAAACUCAAAGGAAUUGACGGGGGCCCGCACAAGCGGAGGAACAUGUGGUUUAAUUCGAUGAUACGCGAGGAACCUUACCCGGGCUUGAAAUGCAGAAGACGGAUCGGGAAACCGAUUUUCCAGCAAUGGCUUCUGUGUAGGUGCUGCAUGGUUGUCGUCAGCUCGUGCCGUGAGGUGUCGGCUUAAGUGCCAUAACGAGCGCAACCCUUGCCAAUAGUUACUAUCAGGUAAUGCUGAGGACUCUAUUGGGACUGCCAUCGUAAGAUGCGAGGAAGGUGGGGAUGACGUCAAAUCAGCACGGCCCUUACGUCCGGGGCGACACACGUGUUACAAUGGGGAGUACAGAGGGUUGCUACCUGGUGACAGGAUGCUAAUCUCUUAAAUCUUCUCUCAGUUCGGAUCGAAGUCUGCAAGUUCGACUUCGUGAAGCUGGAUUCGCUAGUAAUCG
This 508-nucleotide ribosomal RNA is filed under the name uncultured bacterium. Its description in RNAcentral is "bacterial SSU rRNA". It matches the Rfam family "Bacterial small subunit ribosomal RNA", at positions 837 to 1344 of the family's 1533-position model. The record is from RNAcentral.